CAGGAAACUGGUUAAUCGUUUUCCUUGGUAGUAUAGCGGAAACCAUAAAUAAGAAGAACUCUAAGUGCUUGAGUAGAGUUAAAAUAAUUAGACAGGCAAUAUUACA
This 106-nucleotide non-coding RNA is filed under the name unclassified sequences. RNAcentral describes it as "RAGATH-17 RNA". It matches the Rfam family "RAGATH-17 RNA". Rfam says of the family: Environmental. Nearby to self-cleaving ribozyme genes The record is from Rfam by way of RNAcentral.